RNAcentral lists this ribosomal RNA (255 nucleotides) under uncultured bacterium. RNAcentral's name for it is "partial 16S ribosomal RNA". It matches the Rfam family "Bacterial small subunit ribosomal RNA", at positions 333 to 585 of the family's 1533-position model. The record is from RNAcentral.
GGCUACCUACGGGAGGCAGCAGUGAGGAAUAUUGGUCAAUGGACGAGAGUCUGAACCAGCCAAGUAGCGUGAAGGAUGACUGCCCUAUGGGUUUUAAACUUCUUUUAUAAAGGAAUAAAACGAGGCACGUGUGCCUUUUUGCAUGUACUUUAUGAAUAAGGAUCGGCUAACUCCGUGCCAGCAGCCGCGGUAAUACGGAGGAUCCGAGCGUUAUCCGGAUUUAUUGGUUUUAAUGGGUGCGUAGGCGUACAGUCA